UGGUGGUGUGUGCCUGUGGUCCCAGCUACUCGGGAGGCUGAGGUGGGAGAAUAGCUUGAACCUGGGAGGUGGAGGUUGCAGUGAGCCGAGAUCCCACCACUGCACUCCAGCCUAGGCGACAGAGCGAGACUGGAAAGGAAAGGAAAGAAAUGGUACCUCACAGGCAAUACAGGGAAGACCCUCUUUAAGAUUGGAAAGGGAGAUAAGGGAGCUCAUGUUAUUUCACUACCUAUUAGGAUCACUACAUUAUCUGUUUAUCCUUGUUAAGUUUUAUAAAAGUAGAUGAAGAAGAGGUGAGACUUUUCUCUCUGGUUUUACUUCCUUGCAUUAGAGAAAUUCAGAAGAAAGGUAUUUGCAUUUGCAACUAACCUGUCAAAGAAUGCUAAUUGGAAAGCAAAAUCAAAUCUCCCUUCAAGGAUAGAUCAUUUGAAUUAGAGAAUAUUCAUAAAAUGGAGUAUUAGCAAAAAAAAAAAAAAAAAAUGAGCUGCUGAUACACACAACAUAAUCUCUGAAACGUAAUGUGCCAAAGAUGACAAAGUUGAGUUCAAGCUAUGUGAUUCCAUUUAUGCAGAGUUCAAAAACAGACAAAACUGUUAUAAUAGAUGGCAAAACAGUGAAUGCCUUGGCAAGAGGGGAUUGGUUGGAAAGUAGCAGGAGAGCUUUCUGGGGUGAUGUGUUCUGCAUGUUGAUGGGGUGUUUACACAGUUGUAUACACUUGACAAACUCAUUGUAAACUUAAGAUCUGUACUUCUUACUGUAUGCAAAUUUUACCUUAAUAAAAAAUCCUCUCCUUUGUCAUACAACAUCUGUCUUCCGGAACUUCUUUACAAAUCAUACUCCUAAGAAUCUAAAUCUUGAAGAUUUAUUUUUUAUCCUAAAACCUGAUGUAUUUGCCAGGGAAUUAACAAAGAUAGUGAUACCGACUGCUUUUAAGUAACUUCUGUAGUUUUAAAAAAUUAAUUCAUAAUAGAGGUACAGAUUUUCAGGGUACAUGUGAUAAUUGACACAUUCAUACAAUGUGUACCAAUCAAAUCAGGGUAAUUGGGAUAUCCAUCACCUAUUUAUCUCCAUGUGGAAACGUUCAAAUU
Molecule: long non-coding RNA, 1088 nt
Filed under: Homo sapiens (human)
Lineage: Eukaryota; Metazoa; Chordata; Mammalia; Primates; Hominidae
Description: HSALNT0384552
Source: RNAcentral